Molecule: long non-coding RNA, 2830 nt
Organism: Fukomys damarensis (Damara mole-rat)
Lineage: Eukaryota; Metazoa; Chordata; Mammalia; Rodentia; Bathyergidae
Source: Ensembl
CUGAACUGGACGCUGCAAGAGUGUAGAUCAGUGUUCUUUAUCCAAUUUUUUCCUCUCUGAUUUGAGCCUUCAGAAAUGGCCUAGGAGUAUGUGGCAGAGGCCAGGAAGCUGUUUGGAGAGAAAUCUCACACCACAGGGCUAUGGUCUUGUCUUGGACUAGAGGUGGGUUGUAGAAAAGUGAUGGGAACAAAGGAGGAGGGCGGACUCAGGCAGGAGGAAAGAGAGAGAGAGAGAGAGAGAGAGAGAGAGAGAGAGAAGAGAGAGAGAGAGAGAGACAGGAAGUCCUGACUCCUCUUUCUGUCUGGGCCACAGUCCUGGGGUCUCUGGGAAUGGGGCGGUCUUCCAUCUGAGCUGUCUGAUCCCCAUAAGAUCAGAACUCUACCCUACACCAAGAGGAACGCACGACGAAAACGAACCCAUGAAUAUCAAGAUUUCAAACAGCUGCAUUUCACGGUGGCCCAAGGAGGGGGAUGGGGGGCCUCUGUCAGCCCCAGUAAUUCAGUACACGUCACAACAAAAAUGCAAUUUUAACAGCUAAAACAGGAUCAGAAUACUCUGAGCCACGAUGUUCCCGGUACAGUGACCUACACACGAACGAAGUCCAGAGCCCAGACGGGACGCCCGCCUGCGACCAUGGCCACAGCGCAGCGACGGGGCAGGUGCUCCUCCAUCCUGGCUACCUGUGCGCCCCAGAGUCCCCUAAAACCUGGGAGCACAAAGCCAGUCAACUUCAGGAUCAGAUCAGUGCGGUUGGGGGCAAGGGGGACACGGGUGUUCCCAGAGGGACUGGGCAAGUUUCUACGUCUCCUACUUCCUUGGCCCAGUAAGGGCGGGUCACCUUACACCGCUGGGGCGCAGGGAGCAGUCCGACGCCCGCACGCCUGAGGCCAGGCGCGGGAGGUGGAGGUGGAGGACGAACUAUGCCCGGUAGCAGCCUUUGUGAGCCCAUUUCUCCCACCUCUGUUGGGUCCUGAAGACUUGGGCACCCAAAGCUCGCUUUCGAGGCUGGGACUCAACAAGGGCGUCCAGGUCCACCAGGCCCCAGGACCCCACCCAGGCCCGAAAGUGCCGGCGGCGCGGGACAGCAUCCGUCCCCAGCCAGCCCCGGGUGGCCCUGGGGCUGGAAGGACGCGGCGAGGCGUGGCCCCACGACCCCAGACUGCCAGGCCAGGAAAGGGGCGACAGGGUUUAGCCCCCAGUUUGCCCCCUACAGCAGCGCGGCACGCUGGCACAGGGUCACCCUUCCCACACAGAUUAUCCACGUUCAGGACUCGGCGGCCACCCAAGCCCCUGAAGACCCAGUCUCCGAGAGUCCCUCCCCCUGUCCCCUGGUGGUGGGGGCCUCAAGACUCCAGAGCAGGGCCUCCCGGGGUGCCCCGCUGGGGUCGGAUCCACAGCUCCUCCACAGAAUUCCGUGGAAAUCUGCAGAAGUCUCUGGCCCAGGGCACAGAUACCCGUGCGGUACCAGGAAGCCUCGGGAAACAAACGGAGGAGGAAUUUAGACUCCUGCUCUGAAACUCUGAGUGAGGGAGGAGGCUACUGAAAAUCUCACUUGGACUUGGAGAGUGGGGACCCCCCCAGCCCUGGGGCCGCUCCAGAAAAGUCCUGACAUUGUUCUGCUCUCUCUGGGGCGCUGCCACCCGCCGGAAACCCAAACUUCUUCCCGUCCCCUUUCUGUCCCAUUUCCCGGCUCACUGGGCUCUGGGGCGGACUGGGCAGGGACGCAGGAAGGGUGACAUUCCACCCAGCCUGCUCCAGGACCCCAGCGGGAAGCGCGGGAUGGGGCUGGGACUCCCGGAGCCGAGGGCAAAGGCUCGGACGGAGAAACAGAGGCACGCGCACCCCCCACCCAGGCGAGGUUCCCGAAGUGGGAGGGACAUAACCACCAGGGCCUCAGUCUACCCAUCUGCUGCAGAUGAAUCUAGAGGAGAUUUAGUCUUUUAAAGGUGAUUUCUCCUCAUGUAUUUGUCACCCCCAACUACUGUAAAUCUUUUUCUCAGGCUUCAUUCUAAAGAAACACAGAAACUAUGCUUAAGUCGGAAUUUGUCUUCCCAUAUAUUUCUGUUAAUGGGGAAAAUUGUUUUUGUUUGACCUAAUCUUCUGUUGAUUUUUAAAAUCACAUCCGGGAAAUAUUUAGCUCACGGACUAAGUAAUACAGUUGCCACUUGCUUAAUACUUUUAAAACGCUGGGCACUGAGCUAAAGACGCCCCGCCCCAAGUCUCAAAACAAUCCUGCAAGAGUCUUCUUCGCUCUCUUCCUCCCUCCCCGCUUUCUUUCCAAACUAAACACUGAGGCACAGGGUGAAUGAGUUUCUCACAGGUGCAGCGGCAGUGAAAGGCAGAGAGCGUGGGUCUACCCGCUGGACCCUUACGUGGAGUCGGCUGGUGAGAUUUUCCCCGGUCCAUGGCUCCCUCGGGUUCCCUCUAAGUGAGAAAGCUACAAUGAAGAGGCACAAACAGGACCCCUGCGUGGCUGAGAGGUUGACGGCCAGAGCAGAAAGCAGGACACAGACCCUUGCCCCUCCGUGAUCUCUGGAGUGGGGGUAGGGAUUCCGGGGUCCCCUCCUACUCCGGGAGAAAUACAGACCAACGCUUGGCCUCUCUGCUUGCCAGUUUAUUCUUAAAACCCGAGGUUAGAAUUGUGGGAGGCCUCACGGCAUGAUCUGAACAGGGUACUAAAGUACCAGGACUGCGGGACUGAGAGUUUGUCUCUCAGAAGUUGCUGGCUAUAGAUCCAUCGUGCCAGUGCAUAAAGAAAAUACCGUGAUGGUUUCACGUGAUUUAGUUUUUUCAGUUUUGCUAGUUCUGAUGGGAAAUAGUUGUACUUAAA